UAUCUUCACAAACUCGCCUUAAUAAAAGGUCAAAGUGUAACUUGUUCAGAGUACUUUCUGAAGCUGUCGAGCAUCAUCGCCAGUGGAUGGCUCCACAGAGUGAAGUCAGCUGUCACUUAACCAUCUGGCCCAAGCGAUGUGAUCAUUUUUAAAGGCCAACAAAACCAUAUUUGAACUCUCAGUUCAGCAGAGCCCAGUUCCAAGUCUCUGGCAUCCGAGGCGUGACCCAUACUAAAGCAGCUCACCUUUUGCUUAGGUAGCAAAGCAUAAGUCGAUUCAGAGAAAUCUGAGUAUGGGUGUUGAGCUUUAUGUGACUCUGUAGUUCCUCUUUAUUUUCAAUAGAGAAUUGCUUUUCCUAAAUAAAUUGAUAAUUAUGUA
Molecule: long non-coding RNA, 378 nt
Filed under: Rattus norvegicus (Norway rat)
Lineage: Eukaryota; Metazoa; Chordata; Mammalia; Rodentia; Muridae
Description: long non-coding RNA NONRATT033882
Source: RNAcentral